UGUAGACCCUAAGCCCUACAAACAAAUAUGCAAGCAGGCCCUACAAAUAGUUUGUUCAGAAAUAUACCAUUUAUGACAUCAUUGUCAGAUUUUGAUUAGUUAAUCAGAGAAAUAUAAAGCCUAUAACAAUAGCUUCAGGCCAUGUAGUGUUUUGCCAGAGAGUGGCUCAAAACUCUGUCACAUAUUUCCAGGGCCGCUGACAGCUUUCAUUGGGCCCAGAACAAAGGAAUCUGAAAGGGGCCCCACCCAAUAGGCCACAUACAAUGUAAUGGGGAACCAAUCCUGGGCCCCCUAUCUUCCUGGGCCCGUGGCAACCCCCCUGUCGACGGCCCUGCAUAUUUCCUCCAGAACUGAUACAACGCUUCGCCAAAUAGCCUACGUCUAGAGAAAUCCGGCGAUGGGAGCAUGGGAGAAGAGGACCUGUCAGUGGCAGGACCUUUGAAAGGAAAAUAUAGGUCCCCAAGCGGCGGCACUCAUCCUCAGCUGAGCGACACAGGUCCCUGGCCUGCAACUACGACAAGUUGAGGGAAUUAACACAAAAUUAAACUGUUAAGUUAGAAA
Molecule: long non-coding RNA, 561 nt
Organism: Engraulis encrasicolus (European anchovy)
Lineage: Eukaryota; Metazoa; Chordata; Actinopteri; Clupeiformes; Engraulidae
Exons: 2
Source: RefSeq, a predicted model, not a curated record